AUAGCCUGAUUGGUGGCUAUACAGUUUAGGUAAGCCCCGGUAAUCUUCUUCGUCGCCAAACAUUGAAAGAUUAUCGGGGUUUUGUCUU
This is a non-coding RNA of Salmonella enterica subsp. enterica serovar Saintpaul, 88 nucleotides long. The record is from Rfam. NCBI's taxonomy places the organism in Bacteria, Pseudomonadati, Pseudomonadota, Gammaproteobacteria, Enterobacterales, Enterobacteriaceae.